CAGGUGCUGCAUGGCUGUCGUCAGCUCGUGUUGUGAAAUGUUGGGUUAAGUCCCGCAACGAGCGCAACCCUUAUCCUUUGUUGCCAGCGAUUAGGUCGGGAACUCAAAGGAGACUGCCAGUGAUAAACUGGAGGAAGGUGGGGAUGACGUCAAGUCAUCAUGGCCCUUACGACCAGGGCUACACACGUGCUACAAUGGCGCAUACAAAGAGAAGCGACCUCGCGAGAGCAAGCGGACCUCAUAAAGUGCGUCGUAGUCCGGAUUGGAGUCUGCAACUCGACUCCAUGAAGUCGGAAUCGCUAGUAAUCGUGGAUCAGAAUGCCACGGUGAAUACGUUCCCGGGCCUUGUACACACCGCCCGUCACACCAUGGGAGUGGGUUGCAAAAGAAGUAGGUAGCUUAACCUUCGGGAGGGCGCUUACCACUUUGUGAUUCAUGACUGGGGUGAAGUCGUAACAAGGUAACCGUAGGGGAA
Molecule: ribosomal RNA, 475 nt
Filed under: Salmonella enterica subsp. enterica serovar Typhimurium
Lineage: Bacteria; Pseudomonadati; Pseudomonadota; Gammaproteobacteria; Enterobacterales; Enterobacteriaceae
Description: bacterial SSU rRNA
Rfam family: Bacterial small subunit ribosomal RNA
Source: RNAcentral